Molecule: ribosomal RNA, 755 nt
Filed under: uncultured bacterium
Lineage: Bacteria
Description: bacterial SSU rRNA
Rfam family: Bacterial small subunit ribosomal RNA
Source: RNAcentral
AGAGUUUGAUCCUGGCUCAGAACGAACGCUGGCGGCAGGCUUAACACAUGCAAGUCGAACGGGCGUCGCAAGACGUCAGUGGCAGACGGGUGAGUAACGCGUGGGAACAUACCCUCUGGUUCGGAAUAACUCAGGGAAACUUGAGCUAAUACCGGAUACGCCCCCGGGCUUGACCCGGGGGGAAAGAUUGAUUGCCGGAGGAUUGGCCCGCGUCCGAUUAGCUUGUUGGCGGGGUAACGGCCCACCAAGGCGACGAUCGGUAGCUGGUCUGGGAGGAUGAUCAGCCACAUUGGGACUGAGACACGGCCCAAACUCCUACGGGAGGCAGCAGUGGGGAAUAUUGGACAAUGGGCGCAAGCCUGAUCCAGCCAUGCCGCGUGAGUGAUGACGGCCUUAGGGUUGUAAAGCUCUUUCGCUCGGGACGAUAAUGACGGUACCGAGAGAAGAAGCCCCGGCUAACUUCGUGCCAGCAGCCGCGGUAAUACGAAGGGGGCUAGCGUUGUUCGGAAUUACUGGGCGUAAAGCGCGUGUAGGCGGGUCUUUAAGUCAGGGGUGAAAUGCCAAGGCUCAACCUUGGAACUGCCUUUGAUACUGGAGACCUUGAGUCCGGGAGAGGUGAGUGGAACUGCGAGUGUAGAGGUGAAAUUCGUAGAUAUUCGCAAGAACACCAGUGGCGAAGGCGGCUCACUGGCCCGGAACUGACGCUGAGACGCGAAAGCGUGGGGAGCAAACAGGAUUAGAUACCCUAGUAGUCC